GUCAACUUUUUGCUCACUUCGCUCACCCCCCCACCCCCCAGAAAAAGCUGAAAUGACGCCCCUACAUUGAGGUCACGAAUACCUAGAAACAGUAUCUACGCAUCUACCAAUUAACAACGUCUAUUUUUAACUACCAAACGGAGUUACCGGCCACGAAUAAUCCAUUUGCGUCGUUUUUUCUGUGUAAUUAUCAGAAGAGACCUUAGGAUAGCUCACUGAAACAAAAUAAUCUUCUGAAGUCAAGAAAAUACAUUUGGAUCUGUGUGUUGAAGCUGUGUACCUCUUGAGUAAUUAGGCCCACAACCAUUUUGAAAUACUGAGACCAUGAGGAAGUUCGGCAGAAGCAUCAUUGUCCUGAUAUUUUUUGCUGUGUACAUCAGCAUAACAAAUGGGGAAAUUGCUACAAAAUGCAAAUAUUCCACUGAUUGUCGAGUUGAAGAAAUCUGUAUUAACGACCACUGUCAAUGCCCACACAUUGAAUAUUCAAAGAGACAUUACUCAAUGUGUAGUCCUGUGAAUGAAUAUGAUAUAUGCCGAUUUAUUACCUAUUGCGGAAGAAACUCUAAGUGUAUUAACCAUCGGUGUGUGUGUGAUGAGGGCUACUACUGGGUAACCUCUGCCUGUCGUAAAGUGCAGGUACAGCCAGUGAUGGGACCCUGCAGAGAAACAAGUCUGGCACUAUGGUCAACUCAGGCAAUAUGGUUGUGUGAUGACAGAAAACAUUCUGUAUGCAUAAAUAAGAUCUGUGUUUGUGUAAAGGGUUACGUCCCAAACUCGGAUGGAUUGUGCAAGCCACAGGAAUCAUACAUGAAGAACUAUAGUCUCUCUGAAUAUCGUGUCAAACCUGGAGAAUACUGCAGAGAUUCUGCAAAUUGUAUUGAAGGACUAGAGUGUGAGGAAUUUAAAUGCAGGUGUCCCACUGAUUGUAGUUAUGACCAAAGAAAAGAAGCUUGUGACUGUGGGAAGGUUGACUUGGAGAUGGGACCAGUUCUUCUUGGGGGUUUUCUUGGUUUGCUUGUCAUUUUAUUCUGGUGCCGUAGAAUCAAGAGAACCAUAAGGAAACACAAGGAAAUGAUGAGACCAACAGAUAAUAACGAGUAUGUGCCACCUUCAUAUGCACUCUCCCCUGUCCAUUCUUCCAUCCAAACUGAAACAUCGGUUGAUGGAACUGCAUCACCUGCCAGCAGAACAGCUGGCACUCCUAUUCCAGAAGACACUGGCACCUCUGCAACCUCUUACUUAAAUCCCCCAAGAGCACCAAACAAUCCUUUAAAGCCUGAAUCAGAUAAGCCCCCAUCAUAUAUGGAAAUGAUUUCCUCACCCCCUCCAUCAUAUAUAGAAGUUAUUUCUUCACCCCUGUAUAACCCUGAUCCAAGAAGCCAGCCUCUCACCUUCAUACCAAAUGCUCCAUAUCCUCAUGGCUACAUCCCCUUGUCUAGUAGCACUCAGCAGUCCUCUAGUCCAUCUCACUCUCUUUCAGGAAGACCACAUUCCCGUAGUUCCUCACCUGUACCAGAUAACAGUAGUCCCUCAGCAACAACAUAUCCCAUGAAUCCCUCAGCAGCACCACAUCCUGGUAGCCUUAAUGCAGUGCUACAACCAGAUAAUUCUUCUGCCCCAGCUGGUGCUACCAGUUCUUCGUCUCCAUCGCAUUCUGUUCCUGAAGCACCACCAGCAUACAAUCCAUACUUUAAGAAUGACAAUGCUCCAGUUCCUUAGCAACACCACAUCCUGGUAGUCAUGAUGCACCACUGUAUCCUGGUAUUCCUGAUGCAAUGCUACACCCAGUUAAUUCUUCUGCCCCUGCUGGUGCUACCAGUUCUUCGUCUCCAUUGCACUCUGUUCCUGAAGCACCACCAGCAUACAGUCCAUACUUUAAGAAGGACAAUGCUCCAGGUACCUCUGACAAUGACAGUAAAUUGAAGUACUAAGCUACUAAGUUUUGACCUAAGUAUAAGGCAAACCUUUCUGCAGUGGCAAGCUUGCAGCAAAGAACUAGUACAAGACCAUCAUCAUAAAUUCAUGAUGAUCCAAUAUUUCUCCAUUCUUGACCUGUUGAUACCAGAAGUGCAUGUAUAUGUGCACUAUACAGUAAGUGCAUGUAUCAGGCAUCAUUGGGUUGAUUCAUAACCAUGUGUUGUUUUAAGGCAGUAGAUUAAGGUGCAGAUUUUAUUUUUAGUUGGAUUGAUUAAUUUUUACUUGUUAUUCCUUCCAGUAAUUUUUCGCCCCAUACUUUUCAUUUCAGUAAUUGCAAAAUUAAAGGGGCAAAAAAAGUAAAAUCUCCAGAAACAUAUUAAGAUUUAGUUCAUGUGAAUACUAGAUAGUCUGUCUAUUAUUGGAGUUGUUAUUUGAUUAUUUUGUGAUAGUGUUAGGGAUGAUAUAAAGCCUGAUGCUGUAGAUGCCACUACUAAAAUUACCCAUCAUCUGGCUGUAGCACAGCUUUCAAGGGGAAAAAGAAAAAGGAAAAUUACUCUAGAAUUAAGGUGAGGAGAAUUGCUUUGGAUGGCAAUAUUUUUUGGGGGGGAAAAAAUAAAAAUUAAUGUGCAAAGUUUUCCAAAUUUUUUAACUCCAGAGUUUCAAUUCAGAGGUUGUUAUGAUGAAUUCCGGUAGAAAUCUAAUUAUCCAUGUUAAAUGAUACAGUAUGAGUGAUCUUAAGUGUUUGUUAUGGCUGUGGGAGUAAAGUGGAGGGGGGAGGGGGGAUACUGUAAUCAAUUUUUUUAUGUCCUGUAACUUGUUUAAGGCUUUUUUGCAGCCUGCAUUAUAAUUUCAUUGAUGAGAAAACAUUGUGGCACAGAGCUGUCAAACACAUACUUUGUCCCUUACAUUUAUGUGGAAAUUGUGUGUGUUUGCAACAUUAUUAUGCUGAGAGCAAGGCAUGAGGAAAUAUGGGAGUACAUAUUUCAAAACCUACUUUAUAUGAAAAAAGUAAUAGAAGAGUAAAUCUGUGCUAUGUUGUUGGCACCCCAGUGAAGGCAGACUGAAUAGAAUUAAAAUAUAUUAGGAAGAUGUUAGAAAAAUAUGUACUUAUGUGAUGCCAGAUGUUGGUAUUUUAUUAUUUUUUAUAACCAUGUUUUUAGUAUUCCCUUGAGGGAGAUAGUAGCAGAAAUGCAGAUCUGUUGAGAAAUUAUACCUCAACAGGUAUUUAUGGGCCCAGCUAUCCUUAAAGGUAAACACAGAGAUUUAUAAACAACUGUUUUUAUGCUUUUGUUGUUAGUAUGUUAUUACAAAAUCCAUAUCAAACCAAAAUUGUAAUCUUUGAUUCAUUACUUAAAUGAAUUAGGACUGAAACCUUUGAAUUAUGCAGUUUGAUGCAGGUCUUUGAAGGGGAGGGUAGCUGGAACCAUACUGUUUUUUUUAUUACAAAUCAUAUAUAUAUAUGCUUAAUCUUGAUGGUCAGCACAAAGAUUCAUAAACUUAAUUGUUUUUAUUAGUAUCUGUUGUCAUGUAAUGCAGGAUUUGUAGCUAAGCUACAACAUAAUCUUUAUAAUAUGACAAAUUAAUUAUUGCCAAAACUUAGAAACAAGUUUAACAACCAAAUGAGAUGACAGACCUAACUCAUUAGUGCCUUCUGUGUAUCAAGUAAUCUAAAUCAGAUAUUCCUAUAAAUGUAUAACUCUAGAUUAACUUAGUUAGAAGCAGAUGAUAAUUGAAAAAUUCUCAUAACAUUACCCGAAAUUUCUGUAGAUAAAUAUCUUUAAAUGCUUCCACUUAGUAAAUAUGAUACAAAUGAUUUGUUUCUUUUUGCAAGAAGGAAGAACACUUUCAUGGUAUUUAGCUUGUUAUGAAACUACAUCUCGUGUUUGAUAGGUAUUCUUCAGAACGCCCAGGUGGUUAUAAUUUGGAGGAUGCCAAAAGGACAAUCUACAGUUAUUUGACAAGUUAUCUUGACAGAACAUCACUUGGCAUGAUAAAACAUGAAGCUAGAGGAGACGGUGUGAAAGCUUUGGCAGUGCUAUGAAAGUAUUACAUGAGAGAAACAAACCACAGGUUGUAUGCUUUAUGGCGGUCAUUAAACAAAAGACUUAAAGAUGGCAGUGUUACAGAGUAUCUAUCGUCCUUGGAAGAGAUAGCAGCAGCACUAAGAGAAUCAGGUGAGUGUUAGUGAUUGUCUCUUAGUGACAAGUACACUGAAAGGACCUUCCACCGAAGCACAAGAAUUUUGUAGAUGUGCCUAAUCACGCAACCCUCUAUAUGAUUACAUUGAAUUAACGACAGCCUUAUUGGGUCAUGAAGAUCACCUCAGAGAAAAUUCUGAUACAGAAAGAGUAAUGGUUGUCCAUGGUAAUAGUGCAAUUAAACAGAUGCUUCAAGUGUGGUAAACCAGGCCAUUUUGCAUCAAAAUGCUAUAAAGGUGGUGUGUUUAAAUGAGGAAACAAACCUCAGAAUAGUAAGAAAUGGUGUGAAUUUCAUCAGUCAGGAACUCACAGUACUAGUGAAUGUAGGAAGAGUAAUAACUUAGUCUGCAAAUGACACAACCGAAGAACAAAAUUAUGAAUACUCUUUCUUUGUAACACACUCAUCAAGGUUACGACCUGUUGAAGGUACCUCAGAGUUAUGUGACAUUGGAAAACAAUAUAUCAAACUUAGAAGCAGAUGAAAGUUUACUCAUGAUUGACUGUGGUUUCAAGAGUUCAUAUCCACAAAACCAUUACAAAAAGUUGCAGAUGGCCAAAGGCAGCAAGGAACUGUACAGGGAGUUGGUGAUGUCAAAGACUUUAUCCAGGAUUGAGAUAGCAACUCAAAAAGGAUUGUGUUAAAAGAUGCACCAAUGCAUACCAGGAUUUAAGCAAGACAUCUUGUCAGUAUGGAAAGCCAUGAAGAGUGGACACAGCAUUACUUUUUCACCUAAUGGCAGCUCACUAACUACCAAGGAUGGCAGGAUAUUCAACAAUGUAGAAAAAAAACAAAUUGUUCUACUUUUAUAAAGGUAAGCUACACAAAAACUCAAAUGGAUGAUCUCAACAACAUUUAGGAGAAGCAAAGCACACCCUAGAGGAAUGGCAUAAAAUCCUAGGGCACUGCAAUGUGGCUGAUGUGCAAAAACUUGAAGCAACUGUUGAUGGAAUGCAUAUUUUGAGUAAAGAGAAGUUAAGCUGCACCAUGUGAUGAUGACACAGUAUAGAAAUAGAGAGCCAGACAAAAUUGCUAAACAGCCUUUAGUACAUUGUAAUGUAAUAGGAUCUGUUGUUCCAGCAGCUAAUGGAGGUUACAGGUACAGUAUCUCUUUCACAGAUGACUACUCAGGAACUCUAAGAAUCUCCCUCAUUAAGAAUAAGAGUGAUACAGUGCAUGCUAUGGAGAAAUAUUUAGCAGAAACAUCACCAUAUGGCAAUAUAAAAAUGACCAUGGAACAGAAUUUACAAAUUAGGAAUUCAGAACACAAGUUUGCAGCACCCUACUCUCUACAUCAAAGUGGAAUUGUUGAGAGAUCACACAAAUACAUUUUUUACACGUCUUGAUGUUUACUGAUUGAGUCCAAAUUACCCAAAGAUAUGUGGGGUUAUGCUGUGAAGGCUGCUUGUUACAUCAGGAAUGGGUGCUAUAAUCCAAGAACUCUGAAUGGUAGAAAUGCUUACUGGAAAAUGGUCAAGCAUCAGCUGAAUGAAUAUUUUUUGAGUAAGAUGUUUUGCAUAUGAACAAGAGAAGAAGAAACAUGAUCCCAGGAGAAAGAAAGGAAUAUUUGUGAGCUGUGAUGACCAGAGCCCAGCCUACUUGAUUUACUUCCCAGAAUCUUAAACAGCAAAGAAAAUAAGAUCUAUUAAGUUCAUGGAAAACUUACCCAAUGUAGCUGAUUCACUGAAUGACGAGCAAACCUCAGAUGAAGAUGACAUCUUGGUGGAGACUAGACUUCAGCAAAAAUCGCAAGUGAAGAAAGAAGAUAUCCAACUCAAGAAAGACGAAAACCCUCAUGAUUAGAUGACUGCAUUACUAAUGAAUUGGACAACAAUAUCUCCAGUGUGACACAUAACAGCUUUAUACAUCAUUGCUACCAAGUGUCACAUAUCCCAGUACCAAGAAUUAUAAGGUUGCUAUUGUAUCUCCAGAGGGACCCCAGUGGAAGAAAGCAAUGGACGAGGAAAUCUCUUCACUUCAAGUCAACAACACCUAUGACCUUACUACACUGCCUGAGUCACAUACAGCAGUAGGUGGAAAAUGAGUCUUAUCAAUUAAAACCUGGACCAAACAGCAAAGAAAAAAAUAAAGCAUUGUACUUUGCCAAAAGAUAUUCACAGGUAAAAGACAUCAACUACGGAGAAACAUUUGCACCAACAGCAAGAAUGUCUAUAUUUUGUAUUUUGAAGAAAUACAUAUUCAUGUAUUUCUGACGAAGACAAAGUUGAAACCAGUCAAAUACAUCUCCUGUAUUGUGAAGAUAUUCAUUCUCAUUCAUACCUUUUAUAUAUUUGUCAACAUGAAUGCAGUUCAUUAUUUUGUAUUUUAUUUGAUGUGGCUGUACAGAAAAAUAUGGUAAUACAGCAAGUUGAUGUUAAAACAGCUUAUCUGACAGCUGAUAUUGAUCAUAAAAUUUAUGUAGAACAACCUGAAGGUCAUGAGGAAAAAGAUGAUGAUGGAAAUGUUUUGUAUUGUAAACUGGAAAAGUCACUUUAUGGUCUGAAACAAAGCAGCAGGAUGUAGAAUAGUGUAAUCCAUAAUUUCUUUAUUUCAGAAGUUUUCAAGCAAUCAUAGAGUGAUCAUUGUCUGUAUCUGAUGCAUGAUAAGUACAGUGAUAUUGUUGUGCUCUUAUGGGUGGAUGACUUAAUUAUUGCCAGCUGUAACAUGUCCCUGAAGAACAAAUGUACUUUGUACUAAGUACUUUGAAGGGGACCAUGGCAUAUGGUCUUACAUUUGGAAAGUCAGAUGAAAAAGUUCAACUCCAAGGAUUUUGUGAUUCUGACUAUGGAUCAUCUGAAAACAGAAAGAGCAUAUCAGGAUAUUGUUUUCAAUUAUUUAAAGAUGGACCACUUAUAUCAUGGAGAAGUAAGAAGUAACAGACAGUUGCACUUUCAUCUUGUGAAGCAGAGUAUAUGGUCAUUACUUAUGCCAUUCAGGGAAGCAAAGUUUCUAAGACAAUUGUAUAUGAUCUAUUAAGAUUUAAGUUAAAAUCUACAGACUUAGGAGUUGAUAACCAAGGUGCUAUUAGUCUUGCCAAAAAAUCCAGUAAAUCACCAAAGAUCAAAGCACAUUGAUGUUCAUUCCCAUUUCAUUGGAAAUAUAGUAGAGAAAGGUAAUGUAAAGUUAUUUCAUGAUCCUACACAGAACAAUCCAGCUUAUAUAUUUACAAAAUCUGUACACCAGAAGAAUUUGAAUCUUUAGGUGUAUCAGGGGAUAGAUUCUCAGAUCACAUACCCAUCUUUGAUUAAGAGGGGGUGUUAGAAUAAUCAAAGAUGGUUAUUAGUAGGGAUACUUUUAUUCCAUGUAUUUAUGAUAUAACUCAUAUUACCUAACCUACGUUUUAUAUAUAUCUGUAAUAUAAACAACCCUCUGUAGUGCCACAUAGAUCCCAUUCAAUACAUAGAGUAAGGUGCAACAA
Molecule: unclassified non-coding RNA, 7531 nt
Filed under: Penaeus chinensis
Lineage: Eukaryota; Metazoa; Arthropoda; Malacostraca; Decapoda; Penaeidae
Description: uncharacterized LOC125031580, transcript variant X3
Source: RNAcentral